Non-coding RNA from Camelina sativa (false flax), 653 nucleotides. The record is from RefSeq and is a predicted model, not a curated record. NCBI's taxonomy places the organism in Eukaryota, Viridiplantae, Streptophyta, Magnoliopsida, Brassicales, Brassicaceae.
UGCCCCCAUGCAUCUGGUCUCCAUAACCGUUUCAAAUCUCCCGAGAGAUUGUACAUGAUGAGCAAGUCAAAUUGAUGGGUGGAGGAGAAGUAUCUAAGCUACACUUCCUUGUAGUCAGUGGAUAUUUCAAUCUAUGACAUGUGGUUGGUGAUGUCAUACCUCUCAACAUUGGAAAUCAGGUUCUUGCGCAUCGAGUGCUAAUAUCUGGCCAUUCCCUUGCCCUUGAUGAGUCUAGCAUGACUGGACAGAGCAAAAUCGUGUGUGUUUUUCUUUCCUAUCAUAAUAAAACUUGUUGACUUUCUCGUCCCGCUUUAUGGUGAUUCAAGAGGUGGUGGUGCUGCUUUGAGUGUCAAGGAGGUAUCGGAGAAACCGAUUAAACUGGUAAGAUGUGGAGAGCGAAUGGAGGAUCUUGAACCCUUUUUAUCCUGAUCGAAUGGCUGUACGAAUUCUAUGAAUGGCAACAGAAGCUUAGUCUAUUCUAUGAUCAUAUGCAACUGAUGAAGCCACGGUUGGAGACCAUCCGGGAGGAAAUGCAAAACAAGGCGAUGGAAGUAAGAUCCAAUCAGCUUUGUCAGAGUGGACUGGCCAGAGUACUGUUCCAAGCGUCUUCAUCAAAGGAAAACAUAUCGGUGGAAGCGAUAAAGUGAUGGAGA